UGUGGGGCCCCGCCCAGUUUCUUGGCACAUCCUGACAACACUGCCAGCAUUAUGUUCCAAGAGCUUCCAAGGAAUAUCUUUCAAAAAGGCAAAGAUACAUUUUUCACACUGGCACUUACAUCUAUUAGGUAACUAAUCAGCAAUGACGGCAGUAGGUACUGUCUCUAACUACCUACACACCAUGUCACCCCUGAAGAAAGGCAAAAGUCAGGAAAGAAUUACUCUGACCUAAGAAGAAGUGAAGACCUGACCCUGACCAUACAUUCGUCACCCUUCCUGUCCUCCACUUGGUUGGAGUUUUCAGUGAAACAGUAGAGGAAGUAGAAAACAACAGCCAGGGUGUAAAAGGAAGAGUCAGAAAGGAAGAAUCUGCCUGACCUCCGCCUGCCUGCCCUCCAAGGCCCAUGUGAACCAUGUCUGCACAUUUCUUGGACGC
RNAcentral lists this long non-coding RNA (436 nucleotides) under Heterocephalus glaber (naked mole-rat). RNAcentral describes it as "lncRNA (ENSHGLG00000038893.1)". Lineage: Eukaryota; Metazoa; Chordata; Mammalia; Rodentia; Bathyergidae. The record is from RNAcentral.